Non-coding RNA from Dermatophagoides pteronyssinus (European house dust mite), 84 nucleotides. Lineage: Eukaryota; Metazoa; Arthropoda; Arachnida; Sarcoptiformes; Pyroglyphidae. The record is from the annotation of a RefSeq genome assembly.
GCACAGAUGCCCGAGUGGUCUAAGGGGGAUGACUCAAGAUCUUCUAGGCCUAUGCCUGCGGGGGUUCGAAUCCCCCUCUGUGUA